This 1244-nucleotide ribosomal RNA is filed under the name human gut metagenome. Its description in RNAcentral is "bacterial LSU rRNA". It matches the Rfam family "Bacterial large subunit ribosomal RNA", at positions 1104 to 2430 of the family's 2925-position model. The record is from RNAcentral.
GCUUAGAAGCAGCCACUCAUUAAAAGAGUGCGUAAUAGCUCACUGGUCGAGUGACCCUGCGCCGAAAAUUCAACGGGGCUAAAUUAUACACCGAAGCUUGGGAUACCGCAAGGUAUGGUAGGAGAGCGUUCUGUAAGGAGUGAAGUGAGAGCGAAAGCGUUCGUGGACUUUACAGAAGUGAGAAUGCCGGAAUGAGUAGCGAGAAAUAUGUGAGAAUCAUAUUGGCCGAAAGUCUAAGGUUUUUGGAGGAAGGUUCGUCCGCUCCAAGUAAGUCGGGAGCUAAGGUGAGGCCUAACGGCGUAGCCGAUGCACAUACGGUAGAUAUUCCGUAACCACCGAAAGAUUUAAACACAGGGACACCUUGAAAGGGCAUAUCCCGGGAGUUGGUUUACCCGGGCGUAAGGGAUCGAAAUUUGAGUAGAGAAGUAUGUUUGGACGAGGGCGAGAAAAGCUGUGUGUAUAUUUUAGGUGCCCGUACCGCAAACCGACACAGGUGGACAGGAAGAGGAUUCUAAGGCCAACGGGAGAAGGGUAAUUAAGGAACUCGGCAAAUUGACCCCGUAACUUAGGGAUAAGGGGUGCUCAUAGGAAUAUGAGCCGCAGAGAAUAGGCCCAGGCAACUGUUUAUCAAAAACACAGGUCUCUGCCAAAUCGAAAGAUGAAGUAUAGGGGCUGACACCUGCCCGGUGCUGGAAGGUUAAGAGGAGGAGUGAGAGCUCCGAAUUGAAGCCCCAGUAAACGGCGGCCGUAACUAUAACGGUCCUAAGGUAGCGAAAUUCCUUGUCGGGUAAGUUCCGACCCGCACGAAUGGUGUAAUGAUCUGGGCACUGUCUCAAUUACCCGCCCGGCGAAAUUGUAGUACCGGUGAAGAUGCCGGUUACCCGCGACAAGACGGAAAGACCCCAUGGAGCUUUACUGCAGCUUGAUAUUGGGUUUCGGUAAUCUAUGUACAGGAUAGGCGGGAGACUAGGAAGUAAAGGCGCCAGCUUUUACGGAGUCGCCCUUGGGAUACCGCUCUUAGAUUGCUGGAAUUCUAACCUGCGGCCAUGAAACUGGUCGGGGAACAUUGUCAGGCGGGCAGUUUGACUGGGGCGGUCGCCUCCUAAAGAGUAACGGAGGCGCUCAAAGGUUGGCUCAGCACGGACGGAAACCGUGCCUCUGAGUGUAAACGCACAAGCCAGCCUAACUGCGAGGAUGACGGUCCGAGCAGUAACGAAAGUUGGAGUUAGUGAUCCGGCGGUAUG